UUUAUUUAAACAAUUAGUAAAUAGCACAGAAUUACUACCAAUUCUCUUAGUGUUUGGAAAUGAUGUGAAAUUUUCCACAUUUUGUUGAGGAGAAGCAAAUCUUGUAUAUGGAGCUGAUCAUUUGCUGUCUAGUUCCCUUUCUUUUAAUAGUCAUCAGACAUCUGCUCUCUUGAGAAGAGUCAUGAGCUGUUCUCUGUUCUGUCCAGUUUGUGUCCUGUGGUGAUGUAACUCCUCCACAAAGUCUGUUGUCUUGGACAACUUAAAUGGCUUUAUUCCUAGAUCCUGUUGUUUUGGCUGGCUGAGUUCCUGUUCAUCAAUAUUACACUUACCUUACAGUAACCCUGGUACAAUAUGUUUCUGGAGGAAGAAGACCAGAUGGACCUGGUCUCAUAGGUGAAUUGCUGGAAGCAGAAUAUGCCAUUUGUUCCUCAGUAGCAGUGUAAUAGCACAGACCGUUGUACACUUCCCUAUGUUUUGCCCACGCCAGAAGGAGAGGCUUUAUCAGCACAGUUUGUUGGAGAGGGUGGGGGGUUGUUUCAAGAUGGAGAGCAGCUAGAUCUGCAUUUGCCCUGCCUCCAUGUGCUCUGCAGAUUGGAAAAAAUAAAUCAGCAGCUGAUAAAAAUGUGAUGACUCAGCUAAAUGUAAAAGGAGAAGUAUUUCCCACUGUUCAUCCAGAGCUCUCAUGUGCAGCCCUGCUCUUUUAUGGAUUACUUUCACUGUUAGUUAUGAUUUAGUUUUAUAAGCAGAGCAAUGAAACCUCUGCCCUUGUAUGUUGAAUGGAUUUGUUUCUAGGGAGCAUGGAAUGCACUUGCACGUGCUUUGUCCUCAAAUCUACCCAAAUAGCCUGAGAGAAAGAAAACUUGGAAAGGAAGGGAGGUACGGUGAUAAAGACAAGAAAAUAGAGCACUGACUUCUAUAUUCCAAGUGGUUUCUUGUAUAAUUUUAGGAAUUCGGUUUCUUUGUCCUGAACUUCAAUUAGUAUCUCCUCUUCUGCACCCCUCCAGAUUACAUUACUGUUUAUACUAAAACCCCACUAGAACUCUCUGCUGAAAGAGCUAUGGAAAUGUUCACUAACACAGUUCAGGGAAAAGGCUUUCUGCUCUCUGAUUGUGGAUCAAAUGUUUUUGUUUAUAAAGUGGAAUAUUGAAAACUUUA
Sturnus vulgaris (Common starling) is the source of this 1155-nucleotide non-coding RNA. The record is from RefSeq and is a predicted model, not a curated record. NCBI's taxonomy places the organism in Eukaryota, Metazoa, Chordata, Aves, Passeriformes, Sturnidae.